CUUGGUCAUUUAGAGGAAGUAAAAGUCGUAACAAGGUUUCCGUAGGUGAACCUGCGGAAGGAUCAUUAUUGAGUUAGGGUCUUUUAUGGCCCAACCUCCAACCCCCUUGUAUACCACCAAAUGUUUUAUUGUUGCUUCGGUGGGCCAACAGUGCUCACCGCAGCCCAACCAAAAAUCCUAGUAAUGAUGUUGUCUGAGUUAUCAAAGUAAUAAUUAAAACUUUCAACAACGGAUCUCUUGGUUCCCGCAUCGAUGAAGAACGCAGCGAAAUGCGAUAAGUAAUGUGAAUUGCAGAAUUCAGUGAAUCAUCGAAUCUUUGAACGCACAUUGCGCCCUUUGGCAUUCCGAGGGGCAUGCCUGUUCGAGCGUCAUGAUCAAAUCUCAAGCCUUGCUUGGUAUUGGGCUUUCGUCUCUCCUGCUUGUGUGCAGGUAAGUGGCGUGCCUGAAAAGUCACUAGCAGUGCCUCAAUAGACUCAAGCGUAGCAGACUGUACUCGCUUUNGGANGGCCCUUUGUAGACACUGUUAACAAAACAAUCAUGUUGGGACCUCGAUCAGGUAGGAUACCGCUGAACUUAAGCAUAUCAAUAAGCGGAGGAAAGAAACCACCAGGGAUGCCUCAGUAACGGCGAGUGAAGUGGCANCAGCUCAAUUUUGAAAUCUGGUUCCUCUGGGGCCCCGAGUUGUANUUGUAGAGGAUCCNUUCGGGUUNGNCCCCGGCCUAAGNUUCCUUGGANCAGGACGUCACAGAGGGUGAGAAUCCCGUAUGUGGCUGGAGGUCUAUACCCAUGUGAAGCUCCUUCGACGAGUCGAGUUGUUUGGGAAUGCAGCUCAAAAUGGGUGGUAAGUUUCAUCUAAAGCUAAAUAUUGGCGGGAGACCGAUAGCGCACAAGUAGAGUGAUCGAAAGAUGAAAAGCACUUUGGAAAGAGAGUUAAAAAGUACGUGAAAUUGUUGAAAGGGAAGCGCUUGCAACCAGACUUGCCCUUAGUUGAUCAACCGGUGUUCUUCACCGGUGCACUUGACUAGGGUCAGGCCAGCAUCGGUUUAUGCGGUUGGAAAAAGAUCGUAGGAAUGUGGCUCCCUUAGGGGAGUGUUAUAGCCUACGGUGUCAUGCAACCAGUUUAGACCGAGGACCGCGCCUUUGUGCUAGGAUGCUGGCGUAAUGGUUGUAAGCGACCCGUCUUGAAACCACGGACC
Molecule: ribosomal RNA, 1196 nt
Filed under: uncultured fungus
Lineage: Eukaryota; Fungi
Description: eukaryotic LSU rRNA
Rfam family: Eukaryotic large subunit ribosomal RNA (bases 543-1196)
Source: RNAcentral